RNAcentral lists this ribosomal RNA (250 nucleotides) under uncultured bacterium. Its description in RNAcentral is "partial 16S ribosomal RNA". It matches the Rfam family "Bacterial small subunit ribosomal RNA", at positions 524 to 776 of the family's 1533-position model. The record is from RNAcentral.
UACGGGGGGUGCGAGCGUUAAUCGGAAUUACUGGGCGUAAAGGGUUCGUAGGUGGUAUGUUAAGUCAGAUGUGAAAGCCCAGGGCUCAACCUUGGAACUGUUAUAUCUGGCAAACUAGAGUAUGGUAGAGGAAUGGGGAAUUUCCGGUGUAGCGGUGAAAUGCGUAGAGAUCGGAAGGAACACCAAUGGCGAAGGCAACAUUCUGGACCAAUACUGACACUGAGGGACGAAAGCGUGGGGAUCAAACAGG